UGGUCAAUGAUGACAUGACCACCGCACAAUCUGAGUUCUAGGAACCAGGUGAUGGAGUGUGUGCUGAGAGCUGACUGUGAGACUU
Small nucleolar RNA from Felis catus (domestic cat), 85 nucleotides. It matches the Rfam family "small Cajal body-specific RNA 18". From Rfam's summary of the family: scaRNAs are a specific class of small nuclear RNAs which localise to the Cajal bodies and guide the modification of RNA polymerase II transcribed spliceosomal RNAs U1, U2, U4, U5 and U12. This C/D box domain U91 (also known as U4-8) was identified by Darzacq and is predicted to guide the 2'O-ribose methylation of U4 snRNA C8. NCBI's taxonomy places the organism in Eukaryota, Metazoa, Chordata, Mammalia, Carnivora, Felidae. The record is from Rfam.